This 117-nucleotide ribosomal RNA is filed under the name Sinocyclocheilus grahami. The record is from RNAcentral. Lineage: Eukaryota; Metazoa; Chordata; Actinopteri; Cypriniformes; Cyprinidae.
GACAGCAGCCAUAUCGCCCUGCAGCCCAAGACUGGUUGCCCACUGAAGUUAAGUAGGGUUGAGCCUGGUCAGUACUUGGAUGGGAGACCUCCUGGGAAAACUAGGUUGCUGCUGGAA